Molecule: ribosomal RNA, 688 nt
Filed under: Streptomyces sp. Act20
Lineage: Bacteria; Bacillati; Actinomycetota; Actinomycetes; Kitasatosporales; Streptomycetaceae
Description: bacterial SSU rRNA
Rfam family: Bacterial small subunit ribosomal RNA
Source: RNAcentral
GGAAACGGGGUCUAAUACCGGAUACUGAUCCGCUUGGGCAUCCAAGUGGUUCGAAAGCUCCGGCGGUGCAGGAUGAGCCCGCGGCCUAUCAGCUUGUUGGUGAGGUAAUGGCUCACCAAGGCGACGACGGGUAGCCGGCCUGAGAGGGCGACCGGCCACACUGGGACUGAGACACGGCCCAGACUCCUACGGGAGGCAGCAGUGGGGAAUAUUGCACAAUGGGCGAAAGCCUGAUGCAGCGACGCCGCGUGAGGGAUGACGGCCUUCGGGUUGUAAACCUCUUUCAGCAGGGAAGAAGCGAGAGUGACGGUACCUGCAGAAGAAGCGCCGGCUAACUACGUGCCAGCAGCCGCGGUAAUACGUAGGGCGCAAGCGUUGUCCGGAAUUAUUGGGCGUAAAGAGCUCGUAGGCGGCUUGUCACGUCGGUUGUGAAAGCCCGGGGCUUAACCCCGGGUCUGCAGUCGAUACGGGCAGGCUAGAGUUCGGUAGGGGAGAUCGGAAUUCCUGGUGUAGCGGUGAAAUGCGCAGAUAUCAGGAGGAACACCGGGUGGCGAAGGCGGAUCUCUGGGCCGAUACUGACGCUGAGGAGCGAAAGCGUGGGGAGCGAACAGGGAUAGAUACCCUGGUAGUCCACGCCGUAAACGGUGGGCACUAGGUGUGGGCAACAUUCCACGUUGUCCGUGCCGCA